Molecule: ribosomal RNA, 253 nt
Filed under: uncultured bacterium
Lineage: Bacteria
Description: partial 16S ribosomal RNA
Rfam family: Bacterial small subunit ribosomal RNA
Source: RNAcentral
UACGAAGGGGGCUAGCGUUGCUCGGAAUCACUGGGCGUAAAGGGUGCGUAGGCGGGUCUUUAAGUCAGGGGUGAAAUCCUGGAGCUCAACUCCAGAACUGCCUUUGAUACUGAGGAUCUCGAGUCCGGGAGAGGUGAGUGGAACUACGAGUGUAGAGGUGAAAUCCGUAGAUAUUCGCAAGAACACCAGUGGCGAAGGCGGCUCACUGGCCCGGUACUGACGCUGAGGUGCGAAAGCGUGGGGAGCAAACAGG